CCCUUAGAUGUUCUGGGCCGCACACGCGCUACACUGAAGGAGGCAGCGUGUACUCCUGGAUCGAAAGAUUUGGGUAACCCGGGAAUCUCCUUCGUGCUAGGGAUUGAGGUUUGCAAUUAUCCUUCAUGAACGAGGAAUUCCCAGUAAGUGCAAGUCAUAAGCUUGCGCUGACUACGUCCCUGCCCUUUGUACACACCGCCCGUCGCUACUACCGAUUGAAUGAUUUAGUGAGGACUUCGGACUGGGACCGAUGCGGCUUUCGGGCUGCGUCGGUAUUCUGGAAAGAUGUCCAAACUGUAUCAUUUAGAGGAAGUAAAAGUCGUAACA
Molecule: ribosomal RNA, 327 nt
Filed under: uncultured eukaryote
Lineage: Eukaryota
Description: partial 18S ribosomal RNA
Rfam family: Eukaryotic small subunit ribosomal RNA
Source: RNAcentral